This 840-nucleotide long non-coding RNA is filed under the name Homo sapiens (human). RNAcentral's name for it is "HSALNT0123047". Lineage: Eukaryota; Metazoa; Chordata; Mammalia; Primates; Hominidae. The record is from RNAcentral.
AGGAAAUGCCCGCAAGGGAGGUCUGUGCCUUGCUCCAAAGACGAUUCUGAGGGCUUUGGUAUUUAAAGGGGAAAGAGGGAAGUUGUGGUUACAUGACUGAAUCCAUGUGUUGCAAGAGAAAAGGAGCAGGUAGGGGAAUAGCCUAUUAUGUGUUCUUCUAGCUCUCAGUAAAUCGGCGCUUCACUUAAGAUAAGUGGGAGGCCAUGAGAGCCGGAAUUCUCACGAGCAGCAGCGGCCCUGUGGCCCUCAGCAGAGGGACUGACUGGAAGCAGAUGUGGCACAAGUCUCCCCAUGCGGCUUCACUGUUGACUCUCAGGACAUCUACCCUGGGGACUUCCCGCACCAAGAAGACCCUGAGUCACAUGCUUGCUGCUGUCCCCAUCUAUGAUGGCUGUAAAUUCCAUUUGCCUGCUGCUGUCCAUGAAUGGAAGUCUACCUGGGACCCUCUCCUGACCUGGAGACCCACACAUCCAAAUGCCUACUUGGCAGCUCCCGUGGAUGUUUCGUGAUCAGCAUUCCCAACAGUGAAAUCCUGAAUGCUCUUCCCCAAAUCCACUCCACACACGGCCUUCCCUAUCCCUUGUGGUGGCAACUGAGUCCACUGUGGGUCCAUGGGCCCCCCUUUCUUUGACUCCCCAGCUCCAGUCCCCUAGCAAGACCAGCUGGAUCUGCUCUUUGGAUUGCCAGGAUCUGCCCACGUCUCAGGGCCCUCACUGCCUGGCCCACACAUGAUGCUCAAAGACACUCUCACACAUGUCCAAAUAUUUAAAAGUUAUACAUCAAACCCACAAACUUUAAUUUGAUAAGUAAAAAAUGUUUAAAUAAACAAUUUUAAAAGUA